AAUGAACGCUGGCGGCAUGCCUAACACAUGCAAGUCGAGCGAGCCGAUCGGGACUUUUGGCGCCCGGCUGCGUAACGCGUGGGAACCUGCCCUCAGGUUCGGACUAACUCUCCGACUGGGGUGCCUACGCCGGACAAUAUCUUCUGACCAAAGAUAUAUCGCCCUUGUAUGGGCACGCGUUGGAUUAGCUUGUUCGUAGGCUAAUAGCCUAACACGGGGACGAUCCAUAGCUGGUCUGAGAGGAUGAUCAGCGACACUGGGACGGAGACACGGCCUGGACUCCUACGGGAGGCAGCAGUGGGGAAUAGUGGACAAUGGGGGGAGGGCUGAUCGAGCAAGGCCGCGUGAGUGAUGAAAGCCUUAGAGUUGUAAAGCGCAUGUAACCAGGAUGAUAAUGACAGUACCGGGUGAAUAAGCUCCGGCUAACUCCGUG
RNAcentral lists this ribosomal RNA (433 nucleotides) under uncultured bacterium. RNAcentral describes it as "partial 16S ribosomal RNA". It matches the Rfam family "Bacterial small subunit ribosomal RNA", at positions 29 to 507 of the family's 1533-position model. The record is from RNAcentral.